This 383-nucleotide ribosomal RNA is filed under the name uncultured eukaryote. RNAcentral describes it as "partial 18S ribosomal RNA". It matches the Rfam family "Eukaryotic small subunit ribosomal RNA", at positions 592 to 976 of the family's 1831-position model. The record is from RNAcentral.
CAAUAGCGUAUAUUAAAGUUGUUGCAGUUAAAAAGCUCGUAGUUGGAUUUCUGGUGGGAGCGAUCGGUCUGGCGCUUAGCGCGAGUACUUGCAUCGUCUCCGGCCAUCCUUGGGGAAAGUCUGUCUGGCAUUAAGUUGUCGGGCAGAGGAUCCUCAUCGUUUACUGUGAAAAAAUUAGAGUGUUCAAAGCAGGCUUAUGCCGUUGAAUAUAUUAGCAUGGAAUAAUAAGAUAGGACUUUGGUACUAUUUUGUUGGUUUGCGCACCAAAGUAAUGAUUAAUAGGGACAGUUGGGGGUAUUCGUAUUCCGUUGUCAGAGGUGAAAUUCUUGGAUUUACGGAAGACGAACUACUGCGAAAGCAUUUACCAAGGAUGUUUUUAUUAA